Molecule: transfer RNA, 72 nt
Filed under: Ornithorhynchus anatinus (platypus)
Lineage: Eukaryota; Metazoa; Chordata; Mammalia; Monotremata; Ornithorhynchidae
Rfam family: tRNA
About the family: Transfer RNA (tRNA) molecules are approximately 80 nucleotides in length. Their secondary structure includes four short double-helical elements and three loops (D, anti-codon, and T loops).
Source: Rfam by way of RNAcentral
AGCAGCGUGGCUCAGUGGAAAGGUCUUGGGCUUGGGAGUCAGAGGUUGUGGGUUCUAAUCCCACUUCUGCCA